This 358-nucleotide unclassified non-coding RNA is filed under the name Hevea brasiliensis (rubber tree). The record is from RNAcentral. Lineage: Eukaryota; Viridiplantae; Streptophyta; Magnoliopsida; Malpighiales; Euphorbiaceae.
AGGAAUUGCCUUUUGGAUGGAAAUUUGUUGUAAGAUAAGAUCUCUUAGUUGAUGCUUGUUACAAUUUUGUUUGUUGGAGAUUGUUGAAAAGAAGUUUGCUUAAGUUUGUUCAGUUUGAUGAAACAGUGCUCUUCUAAAUGCACUUUCAAUAAAGCAUUGAAGCUCUAUAAAUUAGUCUUCUAAUUAGGGGUUUUGGCAUUGGAAUGGAAGUUGGUGUAUCCUACUAGAUAGGCUUAAGUACCUUCUUUUACACAUAUUUUGUGGCAAUACAAUUUGAAUUUCGUUAUUUCUUUCGUGCUACUUCCAUUUAUUAUUUCAACACCUUAUAUGAAGUAGCACGAAAGAAAUAACGAAAUUC